CGUGCCGAAGGUGCUGCUCCCAUUGACACUCAGCCACCGAAACUCAGUUUUGCUUCCAUUGACAGUCAGGCACUCAAAGUCAGUACUGCUCCCAUUGAACCACCGUGCGCCUAAGUUGCACUGUUUGCAGUAUGGAGCCUCAGAUUGAUGAGGAGUUAGAGGUCUUGGACCCCGGUCUACGUCAGAGGUCAUUGUUAACACGACAGCCAUAUCAUCGAUCAGAGGCCAUUUGGAAUGGCGAGGACUCGGGCCCACUUACGUGCCGUGGUCGCACUAAGGAGAUGGCAAACGUUCAGAUGCAAGAUAAUCGAGU
Long non-coding RNA from Quercus lobata, 313 nucleotides. RefSeq lists it as uncharacterized. NCBI's taxonomy places the organism in Eukaryota, Viridiplantae, Streptophyta, Magnoliopsida, Fagales, Fagaceae. The transcript has 3 exons. The record is from RefSeq and is a predicted model, not a curated record.